GUUUCCUUUGAUACAUAUAAUCUAAUUGUAAAUUCCUUGAGUUUAGGGACUGUAUGUUAUACAUAUGUGUGCCCCACCCUCAAAAAUCUGGCAUAGUAUUGUCUCUACUAGGUACUUAAUAAAUGCUUCAUUGAUUGUCUGGAAUUGAAGGUAUCAAAGGGGUAAAGGAAAUAAGCCAAGAUUUUUUACAGAGCAACACAUUAUAAAUUGCAUCUGACAUUAACAUAUCUCAACUAAAAGUUUUGAAAAUGGUAAAAUAGUUAAUAUUUGGAAAACAAUUUAAAUUGAUAUUUUACUAAAAGUCUGUUUCUAAAUCACUAUAUUCACAUAUAUUACUGUGUUUGGUAGUAUUUACUGUUGUGGGAAUUCCCUUAUAAAUAAUUAAAUGUCCGAGGUCUUUUCAAGAUAUAGAUUCAACUUCUUUCAUGUGUUAGCACAGGGCAUACAAUUGAUUGCAUUUUUCCCAUUCUAUACUCUAUUGUGUGCCCACUAAUUAUUCAAUAUAUUAAGACAAACAAACAUCUAUAAACAACAGUCCUAAUUAAAAGGAACUAAUUGUAACACACUAUGACUUUUUAUUCAUUGCAAACACAGCUCCCUUCUAGAUACUAGGUUCAUGUUGCCAAAUUCAGAGAAUUUGAGAAGUAGAGAGGAAAAAAAAAGAAAGCAGGCUUCCUCCUGACCUACAAACAUGAAACAUUUUUUUUUAAAGUUCUGCUUUCCUCCAUUAAAUGAAUAUUAAGUUAAUCUAAUCUCAGACUCGUUUUUUUUAGUUAAGGUUUGCAAUCAAGUCUCUAAAAAUGCAAAUUAUAUAAUAGACUCUUGGAUUUUUCCUGCCCUUUUCCUUCAUCUCAUUAAUCUUUCAAGAAACAUUAUGUACAUCUUUCAGAACAUUGAAUUUUAGAGGAGAUGUUCCUGAAUAAAGAAAAAAAAGUUCUGCCUAAAUGUUUAAUGAAAUUAUUAUGGAAAAGCUUGGAUAGAAGUUUAAGAAAUUAAGUCUUCUCUUCUGUUGUUUAAACCAGAUGACUGUCAAAUUUGAAUUGACUUUCCUUUUUUUUAGUACUUUUUAAAAUUUGAAAGUAUGCAACAGGGCAGUUCUAUAAAACUCUGUACCUGGAAAUAAAAAGCAAUUCAGGAAAAUAAUACAUGUAUAUAGAAUGAAGACCUGAAUUCCCAAUCAGUCUACUUCAGUCUACAGGAAUUUAGCCAAUUUCUUUUUGUUAGUUGUAUUUUGCUUUUUAAAAAUCUUCUAGAUCUACAAAAGCUAAAUGAGGAAAUUAUGAUGAAAUAUUGACCUACAUCAGGAAAUACAAAUAAAAAUAAGGUCAAUGAUUUAAAUAUUUGUUAGAAGACUUUAAGUAACUCCUUUUUCUUUGGCUAUUAAUUUAAUUCCCUUUUCGACUAGCUUAUAUCAAGUAACCCUACCAUCAGUGCAUGGCACGUAGCUGAUGAAGAUCUUGUCCAAGGCAACUGAGCUUUUUAAAGAGCAGACAUUACUGUGGGAUUUAGGAAAGAUUAAACUCUUUGUACUCUUCCAAAAGCAAUAAUUAAAAUGAAUGCAAUCUUUUUAUAUAAACAGCUGUCAUUUCUUCUUCAACAAGGAAUUUUGCCAUCUACCAGUAUCAAAAGGGCUGAUCCUUGAAGGGAGGACUGAAUUUUUAUCAUAUGUCUUAUUUUUUUUUCCAGGAGGAACUCCCAAAAGAACAAUGAGAAGGAACCUGCACUCUGAGGAAGUAUCCGGCAAUUGCAAUGCAAUGUAACCACUGUCUAAACCCAUGAAAACUUCAAGAGCAGUCUAAUACUUUUUCUGAUCUUUGUCUAUCUAAGUAUCUAAUCAAGAUUAGUAUUCAUAUUUAUCAUCUUCCUCUAGCAUUUCUAUACUAAUCCCUUUGGACUUUAGAAGACUAGCAAAUAUGCCCAAAUAUUUGAAAGGCAAAUCUCAGUUAUUAUCUAAAUAACUAAAAAGCCAUAACAUUAAAAAGGAAAAGGAACUUUUGGUUGUUGGGAGGUUUUUUUUGAAGUGGAACAUUCUCUUCCAACUUAAGUGAUAAUCUAUAAAAACUGAUGUUUUUUGUUGUCAUAGAAGCUGGACAUGUAAAAAUCAUGAAAGUUUUCCCUCUGUCAUUUAAGACACAGACUCUAAACGAUGAGAGAGGAGUGAAAAGAAUAUUGAAGUUAAUGUGAGACAUAGAUAAUUGAAUGAUGAGGAAGAAAACACACAUGUUUCAGAUCUCAAAAUUAUGUUCACAGACUAUACUACUUCAUCCUCAGAAAUUCUUUGGGUAGCAGGCAGAAACUGAGGCUCAUAGUUUUAUGGUUUGCUUGAGAACUAAGAGUAAUUAAUGAAAAAUCAUGACAGUGCCUUGGUCCCCAAAUUCUAGGUCAGUUUUUUCCCUCAUUUCUCCAAGGAUGUAUUAACAUAUGAACAGAUAGGUCAUAGAAAAUUAUAAAAAUGGUCCUUAUGCAUAAGAGAAGAUGUUCAAUUUCAAACAUAACAAAUAAAUGCAAUGAUAUAUUCCUUUCUUAACUGUCAGACUGGCAAAGCCAAAAGGUACAACAACAAACUCUGUUGGUGAGUCUGUAGGAAAAUAGGUACUCUCAGAUGUUGUUGGUGGAAUUAGAAUAUGGUACAAAGCCUAAGGAGGAGAAUUUGGUAAAAUUAACUGACUACAGAUGCAUUUAUACUUUGGACUAGCAAUCCCCAACCAUGUAAGCCCAAAAUGACGGAUGAAGAAUAUUUUCCAUUUUGGUAUUAUUUGUUUAGCAAAAAUUAGUAAUAAUUCAAGUGUUAACAAUAUGGAGCUGCCUGAAUUAAUUAUGGUACCUCUGUUCAAUAGAGUAAUAUGCAGUAGUAACAGAGAGAGAGGACUGACUGUAUGUACUGUUAUGGAAAGAAUUUGGGGAUAUGUUCUUUAAAGAGAAAAGCAAGGUACAGGAUAGUAUAUGUAUUGUACUUUGGUGUAAGAAAUGGAGAAAUAUAGAGAAUACAAAAAAGAACAACAUUAGACAUAUGAACAAAAAGCUAACAAAAAUGGUUAAUUAUACAAACCGGAAAUGAGGGAAAAAGAUCGAAAGAGGCAUCUAAGCAUGCAUUUUUUAAAUAUAGUUUUGAUUAUCAAACCAUUUAAAUGCAUUUCCCUUACUUUUUUAAGACAGGAAGAUAAAAAGAAAAAAAUUCUUAAAACUGGAAACAAACUUAGGCAAAUAUAUAUAACUCUAUGUGAACUGAAAACAUAAUCACCAAGAAAGGUUUUUUGUUUUUUUUUUUAAAUAACUUUGGAACAUAGAUCUUUUGGUUUCAUCAUUAGUAGUUUUUUGGUAACAAUUCACACAGUAUUAUAAAGCUUUAUCAUCAAGGUCUAACCAAGGCAAUGGGAAUAAUUUUUUUCAGGGCAUAUAAAUCAGGGAAUCAAUUGCUUAGGUAAUACAAGAACCGAGAAGCCAAGAAGAGAUGGUAAGGUAAGCAGAUUUCAGAGAUAGGAAGACAUCACUCCAACAUCUAUUGGCAGCUAGAACUAACCUGAGCCCAUUCUGGAGAUCAGCCACAUUCAGGGAAAUCUCCCAAGAUAAGGAGAAAGAUAGAAAUACUCUGGUUCUCUCCCCACCCCCCACCCUGGCACCAUCUCCCACUGGUGACUACUACUGACUGGUAAGGAAGCC
This 3660-nucleotide long non-coding RNA is filed under the name Sus scrofa (pig). RNAcentral describes it as "lncRNA (ENSSSCG00000060572.1)". The record is from RNAcentral. Lineage: Eukaryota; Metazoa; Chordata; Mammalia; Artiodactyla; Suidae.